This 1877-nucleotide long non-coding RNA is filed under the name Apis mellifera (honey bee). RNAcentral's name for it is "uncharacterized LOC102656336". The record is from RNAcentral. Lineage: Eukaryota; Metazoa; Arthropoda; Insecta; Hymenoptera; Apidae.
AAUCAAUUAGUAAGGAAGAAAAAUAUACUGAAUAUUGGAAAUAAUGGGCUCAACUUUAUAUCUCGAGCAACAAAGCUGAAUGAAAUCUUAUUCCAAAAUUCUACUCGAUCAACCAUGAAAUCGAAUCAGAAGCCUCGAAGAAGCCUUUAUUAUCGAACGAUAUAUAUAUAUAUAUAUAUAUAUAUAAAUCGUGCACGUGUCCAAACAAUUUGGACAAGAAUUCCUUCUCUCUCGUUAAAAACCGGCAAUUUCUCGAAGCAGGUGAAAGAGGAUGCUCAAUAUUAAUAAAUCUUUACGAGCUCUCUCUCCCUCCAACUCGACAAAGGAAAUAUUCUUUGAAUAAAGAAUCGCCUCUUUAUCGCCAUAUACUUUCCAGGUUGAUCUAUCUCCUCAGGUGGAAAGCGAGCUGAGGUGGGAUGCAGGUGCGACCCCCUUUUCAAGGUCCUGAUACUGCUACUUCGACGCUUUCCGUUCGCAGACUCUGCUCGACUAAUGUGACGAAAGGUGGAGAAAUCGUCCUUCGUCCACUGGAAACGGAUCUCUCGCAUACCAGAUGAUCGUCAUCCGAACAGGUGAUGGAAGACCCCGAUCGGUUAUCUCGCAGCUUGUCGCGUUAUGGAAUCUUUCUUUUUAUGGUUCAAUUGAAAAAUAAUAUAGAUACUUUUAGACACGGAUUUAAAUAUAUUUUAGAAACGAUUAAUAACUCGAUGCUUUUCCUGAUGCUUUGGAAAAUGAAAAUGAAACAUUCGACUUUCGAUUUUUCGAAAGAAAGAGUUUAAAAAGACAGAAUAUGAAUUCUUCCUUCACUUGGCCAAAGAGCAACGAUCAAUCGAAUUAUUAUUCCUAAAAGCUUAAUUUCCUUUGUGGGGGAUAAAGUACCCCUCUAAAGCCAAUGAAUUACGAAACGGCUGCCAAUCCGUAAUCCUUCUCCCCCCGUUAUAUCCCAUAAUAAUUGAAAUAUCAUCAGCGUGAAUUAUUUUCCGUUACGUAACACCGUUACAACAUAUUGUAAUAUCUGCAUAUUGUAACGCGUCAAAUUAAAUAAUAAAGUCUUAUAUAAUCCCUGCCUAAUAAAACGUAAACGAAUGUAAACACUUCUCGUUACACUUAUCACCUCCUGUUACAUAAUAAUUUAAUAAUUCCUCCCCUCUUGCGUAAUAAUAUAAUAUCACUUAUUCUAUAAAAAAUUCUAGAAAUUUAACAAGAUUAUUACUAAGAAAAAAAUUUUGAUAAUUAAUAUCCGUGAGAAGAAGAGCAUGAAUUCGCUUCGAAUAGGAACCGCGUAUACUUUCGAGUCCAUCCUCCGAAAGAGGAAGAGGUUAAGUUAGACGAAAUCGUAAUGAAAAAUGUAUGUUUCCACGUCGAUGGCCACUCCACGCCAUCUAGAUUGCCUUGGCGCUAGGCCUUCCACUCCUUGCGCGCCUCCAACACUCGUAACGGCCGAAGUUCAGUCUAUCGGGGACCUUGACACGAUUCCGGGCGGCCGGUCAGGGCGGCUAGGUGAACCUAAAACGCGGCCAAGAAUGUCGCCGCGUAAGGCCUCCACAAUUAGUUAAUAAUUCCCGGCCGUCCUUAAUUUCCCGUCAACACGAGCAGCGGCGAGGUGGAUUAAUUAAACCCUGGGGUCGAUCGAAACAAAAGCCGCAUAUUAGGUGGAUCUGCCUAUAGAGAUCAACUUUUUCCGAACCUUGAGGCGAAUAAGAUAGUCAUGGACGACCUCGAGCAAGUGUUGGCUCCCGGCUACGUAUAACGGAUUGCCCGUGACCGGGGAGGACCUUGGCCAUGGAUAUACGUCGGAUGUCGUGACGCAGGCGUCGCGACGCGCGCGUUUACUCCUUUCAUGAUUUCCUUUCGCUAUAAGUUAAAAAAAAAAAAAA